Long non-coding RNA from Manis javanica (Malayan pangolin), 2916 nucleotides. RefSeq lists it as uncharacterized. Lineage: Eukaryota; Metazoa; Chordata; Mammalia; Pholidota; Manidae. The record is from RefSeq and is a predicted model, not a curated record.
GGGGGGGGUGGGGGGGCUGCUUACUCAGCUAUUCUAAGUGCUAUGUCUUAGUGAGGGAUAUUUGAAAUAUUUAAAACACAUAAAUUAUUUCAGCAAAGUUAAAAACUGAGCAAGAUCAGAAUGCCAAAAUCUUGAUUUUAAAAGUUCUACCUUUAAAGUUCUUUUACUGACAGCAUUCCAUGUCAGCAUUGAGAAACAAACUGUCUAGCUACAGGGCAUCUGCAGGAGACAAGCUCCCUACGACUGUCCACACCAGAAGCAGGGGCUCUGUUCCAAAGGACACUACUCCCAGCCAGCCGGGUCCCCAGACCCAGCUUGGAGCAGGAGCGCCUGGCAGGUGUCUAUCACCAGCCUCUGGACACCAGCUCAUAGCGAGUGGGUCUGGACAGAAACCUGCCUCCACAAGCCCAGACAGAGCUGCUGGUGAAAUGCAUCUGAGGCGGCCUGUGGCUGCGGCCGGCGAGCAGACACAAGUCCUCCCAAGCCAUGACUCUUGGCCACGGCUCCACAUUAGAAACACGUGGACUUUGCAAUCCUGAUGCUACACCCAGCCCAUUAAAUCGGCCUCUUGGAAGGGGGUCCCUGGCAGGAGGGCUGCUAAUGCUCUCCAGGUGAUGCUGAGCAGCAGCCAUGCCCUCUUGUUCUGCUCAGCCCACUUCCACCAUCACACUGGGUUCCUCCUGUCCUGGUCCCUGAAGUGGAGACCCGUCUCCCCACACCAGCCUGCCCGAGGCUGCUUUCUGGGUGUUCUUCCCUUUGGCAUUCUGGGCAAGCUUAGUUAAGUGACCCAAACUCAGACCCUAGCCUGUAAAUCAAACUGCCUCUCCUCCUGGCCAGCCUAUGUGGGUCCCUAGAGCUAAGAAUAAGGAACAGGGCAGAAUAGUUAUUAAUGUAGGGUCUAUUUAUUUUAUGGUUUAUAUUCAUUUUCUUGAGUCAACAAUAAAUACACAUGACACAACAUGUGGAAGGUCUAAAGCAUAAAUUCCCCGCCCUUCGGGCUGGUUUUUCAUGGCUCCCUCCAGAAGUUUGUUUUUUAAAUGUGACUAGAAGAGCCAAGUGAUAAAUCUGACUCCAAAAAUUAAAGUAAAAAUAAGCUCAAACUAAUCUCUAGUCUCUGCUGCAUGGCAAAGUCAGACCAAUUGUGCAUCCUAGAGCAGGGACGGAGGGCCAUGCCACUGCCCCAGGAACCUGCCUUCUGACUGGAGAGCCUGGCUGGGAGCGCAUUUGCCCACACUGCCGCCCUCUGAAAGGAUGGAGCGGCAGCAAGGGAACACGCUCCCAGCUUCCCAGUUGGGAAGCCAGGCAGUACGUAUCUGGCAUCUGCAGUCUGGCCGUGACCUCAUGCACAGGGAGAAGACACAUGACAGAGGGGAGGGGACGGGAACACAGGCUCCGCGAGGGAAGCCUCCAUUCUCAGAGCCGAGUAUCCCCGUCAGGCCACGGCAGCUGUGCGGAGGCUGCCACACCCCUGGGCCGGCCUGCGCCAGGGAGCACGUUGUGAGAACCAUUGUUUUAACUGACAGACACUGUUUCUAAAACUGAACCAGCCACUAAGAAUCUGGAAGUCAUAAACUGAUCUGAGUUCAAAAAAUUUGUGAGGAUAGUUUAAAAUCAUCAGUGAGAUCCCGCCUAAUACUAGCUUAGUAUUUUUCUUGUAGUUUGACUUAUUUUACUCCAGUGAGAGUAUUAGUUGACAUGGUUUCUUUCCUAAGUCAAUAAAUGAAGGCCUAAAAGAAAAUGUGCUAUGUAAAAUGAAAACAGCAACAUGUAAAAUUCACUUUUACUUUUUUUUAAGUUGCUAGUAUCUUUAUUUAAACUUUUUUCCAAACACGGACUAUUACUUAAUUUUUAUGUUCGCUACCUCUAGCUACGGUUUUAAUUGUUUAAAAAAAAAUUUUUUUUCUUUUGGUAUCCUUAAUCUACCAUUACAUGAGGAACAUUCUGUUUACUAGGCUCCCCCCAUCACCAAGUCCCCCCCACAUACCCCUUCACAGUCACUGUCCAUCAGCGUAGUAAGAUGUUGUAGAAUCACUACUUGUCUUCUCUGGGUUGCACAGCCCCACUUUUACUUUUAUUACGUAAAAAUAAUUCAAGUGCUUACCUAAUAAAUCACUAGAUAGGAGGUUAUCUUUCAGCAAAUACGUUAAAAUCUUCGGGAGGAAUAAAGACCUUGUCUGCAGAAUGCUCUCCACUGUGCCCUCCUCAUCCCGCUUCCCUUCUGCAGACACAGGCCUCACUGGUCUCACUGGCUUCUUGUUUCCCUGUGAAUACAACUGUUUCAAGUCUGGGGCUGCCCAAGGAGUCAAGGGUCUGUAUCUUGAGACCCUCAGAACCUGAACUUCCCUAAGGAGCAUGGGCUCUUUGCAUUGAAGUGUCCCAAGUCUUCCAGUCAAGUCUUGUGACCACCCACCCCGACAGGAUUAUGCUCUGUGGGGGCUUCACAAAGAACAGUUCCCAUAUUGCCCGUGGGAUGCAAGACAAUUUUGGAGGCACACAGAGACCAUCCCGAGAGACCCCACCUUUCCCCCAGCUGUUCCAGUGGAGUUACAGAGCCAAAGCGGGAGCGACAUCAGAGCAUAAUAUUCUGGCUUGUGAUGUCUGUAUAUCUGAAAGGCUGCAUAGGAAGGAGGUGGCAGCAGGACCAGGGCCAACGGAGAGGGGCCAGAAAGAGCUACUUCAGUGGAGACUAGCAGAGCCGGCCUGGGAGGCGGCGGCCCCUCAGCUGGGGGCCUCCAGUGCUGGGAGACAGGACCAACUGCAGGAGCGUCCGGGGCAUCCCCACCUUGAUGUUUUAGGCUUACAGGCUGAACGCAAGAACUCUUGCCAUCAUCUCUUCAAGAGCAGUGACUGCUACUUGCUGUUUCUGUAUAAAUCACUGGUUUCCUUGAAUUACUCUGAAUAAAUUCAUGCAUGGAA